RNAcentral lists this ribosomal RNA (490 nucleotides) under uncultured bacterium. RNAcentral's name for it is "partial 16S ribosomal RNA". It matches the Rfam family "Bacterial small subunit ribosomal RNA", at positions 30 to 507 of the family's 1533-position model. The record is from RNAcentral.
AUUGAACGCUGGCGGCAGGCCUAACACAUGCAAGUCGAACGGUAACAGGAUGAAACUUUCUUCUUUGCUGACGCGUGUCGGGGGGGUGAGUAAUGUCCGGGAAACUCUACUAUGGCGGGGGGUAACACGUGGAGACGGUAACUAUUAUCGCAUAUAGUCGCAAGGCGAGAGAGCGGGGGAUCUUCGCACCUUGCGCGAUGGAGUGACCCGAUGGGAUUAGCUAGUAGGUGGGGUAACGGCGCACCUAGGCGACGAUCCCUAGCUGGUCUGAGAGGAUGAUCAGCCACACUGGAACUGAGACACGGUCCAGACUCCUACGGGAGGCAGCAGUGGGGAAUAUUGCACAAUGGGCGCAAGCCUGAUGCAGCCAUGCCGCGUGUAUGAAGAAGGCCUUCGGGUUGUAAAGUACUUUCAUCGGGGAGGAAGAGAGUAAAGUUAAUACCUUGACUUAUUGACGGUACCCGAAGAAGAAGCACCGGCUAACUCCGUG